AUGAUCAAAGAUGAUAUAUAUGACCACAAACAAAUAAAUUGUUCUUGAGGGUCAUUAAUUUAAGAAAGAAAAAGAAGAAGAAGAAGAAGAGUAAAGAUGAUUAAUGUCGACUGAUUCACCAUCUUUUAUUUCCACAUUUAGCAGGUAAAGUGCUUCCCACGUACGAUGGAGCAGUGCUAUUGACACAUGGGUUGUAUGCAAAAGGGGCAAGAAGAGAGAGAGAGAGAGAGUUGGACGGUUGAAAACAAUUGUACCCAUAAAAAAGAGGGAGUCCAAUAAUAUUUUAACUUCCAUAUUCUCCCUGUACAAAUAAUAUUUAUUUGCUCUACUGUGAACUACUUUUUCAUAUUGUUUUAUCAUUUGCUUCCCUCUUUUAAGCAGGAGAUCUAACCUUCUUUUUCCUUUUUCUUUUUUUACUUCUUGUGUUGAUUAUAUCUAAUUUUCUUUCUUUAGCUUUUCCCCACAUGGAGAUUGGAGAAUGACUAGGCUAUUCUAAUUUAGAUGCAAGUAGAGUAAUUUAUGUGAAGUAGAAGAAUAAUAAAUAUUCUUAGUGGGGGGAUAAGCUAGAAGCAUGACCCAAUGAGGAGAAUAAUGCCUUUGUGGACCACUUCAAGUCACUUGGCUCGAAGGCUAUUAUAUAUAUAUAUGUAUAUAUACAUGGAAUAUUGGAAAGAGAAGAAGCCAUGCAGUAGCUGCUUAAAGUUGUUCUUUUCCUUCGCCCUCUGAAGGUUCUUGAAGCCAAGAAAAAUGUGGAGGAAAAGAAGAAAGAAGAAGAAGAAGAAGAAGAAAAUGGUAAAGAGAGUACCGUCCGUUGGAUAAUCAUAUAUUUAUAUGUUUCCCCUCUUCUUCUUCCUCUGCAUGGAACUGAAGGGGUCAAAAGGCAAGUCAAAGAGGCAAAGGGAAGGUCAUGCCUUUCUUCCGGGUUUUUCUGUUGUUGUUGUUGUUUUUAUUUCGUUCCUGUAUAUCCCUGGAACAUGUGUGGUGUUGACAGGGAGUGGUAGCUAUAUAUAUAUACAUAUAUGUAUAUGCCAAGGUGUUUUUCUCUUUUCUGUGUUAGUUCAAGAGCUAAAAUGGUUUGCUACUUCGCUUCCUUAUCGUCUGUUAUUUAAUGCAUGCUAUCUUUUCUGCUUU
This is a long non-coding RNA of Ricinus communis (castor bean), 1131 nucleotides long. RefSeq lists it as uncharacterized. The record is from RefSeq and is a predicted model, not a curated record. The transcript has 2 exons. Lineage: Eukaryota; Viridiplantae; Streptophyta; Magnoliopsida; Malpighiales; Euphorbiaceae.